Brachypodium distachyon (stiff brome) is the source of this 79-nucleotide non-coding RNA. NCBI's taxonomy places the organism in Eukaryota, Viridiplantae, Streptophyta, Magnoliopsida, Poales, Poaceae. The record is from Rfam.
GGCCGGUGAUGUGAAACAAUUUGUCCGUACCAUCUGAUUCAUCUGAUGAUUCACAUUUGCUAAUGUAUCUCUGAGGCCC